Molecule: ribosomal RNA, 405 nt
Filed under: uncultured bacterium
Lineage: Bacteria
Description: bacterial SSU rRNA
Rfam family: Bacterial small subunit ribosomal RNA
Source: RNAcentral
UCGGGAAUUUUGGGCAAUGGGCGAAAGCCUGACCCAGCAACGCCGCGUGAAGGAUGAAGUAUUUCGGUAUGUAAACUUCGAAAGAAUAGGAAGAAUAAAUGACGGUACUAUUUAUAAGGUCCGGCUAACUACGUGCCAGCAGCCGCGGUAAUACGUAGGGACCAAGCGUUGUUCGGAUUUACUGGGCGUAAAGGGCGCGUAGGCGGCAAUUCAAGUCAUCUGUGAAAUCUCCGGGCUUAACUCGGAACGGUCAGAUGAUACUGCUUUGCUAGAGUGCAGAAGGGGCAAUCGGAAUUCUUGGUGUAGCGGUGAAAUGCGUAGAUAUCAAGAGGAACACCUGAGGUGAAGACGGGUUGCUGGGCUGACACUGACGCUGAGGCGCGAAAGCCAGGGGGAGCAAACGGG